GAUCCUGGCUCAGAUUGAACGCUGGCGGAAUGCUUACACAUGCAAGUCGAACGGUAGAGGGGGCAACCCCUUGAGAGUGGCGAACGGGUGAGUAAUAUAUCGGAACGUGCCCAGUCGUGGGGGAUAACGUAGCGAAAGUUACGCUAAUACCGCAUACGAUCUAUGGAUGAAAGCGGGGGAUCGCAAGACCUCGCGCGAUUGGAGCGGCCGAUAUCAGAUUAGGUAGUUGGUGAGGUAAAGGCUCACCAAGCCGACGAUCUGUAGCUGGUCUGAGAGGACGACCAGCCACACUGGGUCUGAGACACGGCCCAGACUCCUACGGGAGGCAGCAGUGGGGAAUUUUGGACAAUGGGCGCAAGCCUGAUCCAGCAAUGCCGCGUGCAGGAUGAAGGCCUUCGGGUUGUAAACUGCUUUUGUACGGAACGAAACGGUGAGCUCUAAUACAGUUUGCUAAUGACGGUACCGUAAGAAUAAGCACCGGCUAACUACGUG
This 492-nucleotide ribosomal RNA is filed under the name uncultured bacterium. RNAcentral's name for it is "bacterial SSU rRNA". It matches the Rfam family "Bacterial small subunit ribosomal RNA", at positions 15 to 507 of the family's 1533-position model. The record is from RNAcentral.